CAGUAGCCGCGGUAAUACGGAGGGGGCUAGCGUUGUUCGGAAUUACUGGGCGUAAAGCGUACGUAGGCGGCUUUGUAAGUUUGAGGUGAAAGCCUGGUGCUCAACACCAGAACUGCCUUUAAGACUGCAUCGCUUGAACGUCGGAGAGGUGAGUGGAAUUCCGAGUGUAGAGGUGAAAUUCGUAGAUAUUCGGAAGAACACCAGUGGCGAAGGCGGCUCACUGGACGACUGUUGACGCUGAGGUACGAAAGCGUGGGGAGCAAACAGGAUUAGAUACCCCCGUAGUCCCUGUCUCUUAUAC
This 301-nucleotide ribosomal RNA is filed under the name uncultured bacterium. Its description in RNAcentral is "partial 16S ribosomal RNA". It matches the Rfam family "Bacterial small subunit ribosomal RNA", at positions 509 to 807 of the family's 1533-position model. The record is from RNAcentral.